Molecule: long non-coding RNA, 1249 nt
Filed under: Papio anubis (olive baboon)
Lineage: Eukaryota; Metazoa; Chordata; Mammalia; Primates; Cercopithecidae
Description: lncRNA (ENSPANG00000043490.1)
Source: RNAcentral
GGGACAGAAACAGUGGUAUAGUUUUUCAUUUUUUCAUGGAAGUAGAAGGACUUUUAGGGCUCAUCUAGAUGAGACGAGAAAAUUAGGCUUGUCCCAUAACCUUGGGGUAAACCUCAGUGUCCUCAUCUAUAAAAUAAAGAUAAUGGUAAUUUUGAGGAUUAAGUGAGAUAAUGAAUCUUAGUGCAGGGGUGAUCCAGAUUUCUUGAAUGAUAAAGAUCAUCCAUACUGAUAAUCUGAUGGUCAGAUUUCUUGAAUGAUAAAGAUUAUCCAUAUACUGUCUAUUUUUUUAACCUAAUUUCAAUCCAGCAUCUUUUAUAGUCUUUCACUAAAGCUGAUCUUGUGAAUUAAUCUUUAAGGACUUUCUAUCAUAUUUGGCCACUUCCACCUUACUUAAACACUCUGGGCUCUGUGCUUCUGUGAUCAUUUCUACUGAUUUUCUUCCUACUUUGCAGACUGCUCAUUCUCAGUCCCUUUUCACCUCUUCUACCCAACUCUUAAAUGUUGACAUUCAAGUGAGUAUAUCUGAGUUUCAUUCUUUCUAAUUCCACACUCUUAGUUGUUUGUAACUACUCACAUGAACUUCAAAUAAUAUUUAUGUGUGUCUAUGCAUUCCCACAUUUAUGCCUUCAGCCCAGGCUUCCCUACUGAACUCCAGGCCUAUAGUCCAUCUGUGUAACUGAAUCCAAUUGUAUGUCUACCGACAGUCAUCUCAAACUCAAUUAUCAACUUCUUCAGGAAAGGGGGACUCAUGUUCAUCCUGCUUACCACUCAAUCUUAGCAGGUGUGUUAGGUCAUUCUUGCAUUGAUAUAAAGAAAUUUCUGAUACUGGGUAAUUUAUAAAGAAGAGAGGUUUAAUUGGCUCACAGUUUUGCAGGCUGUACAGGAAACAUGGCACCAGCAUCUGCUUGGCUUCUGGUGAGGCCUUGGGCUGCUUACAGUUAUGGCAGAAGGCAAAGGAUGAGUUGGUGUUUCACAUGGUGAGAGCAGGAGCAGGGGUGGGGCAGUGCCAUACACUUUUAAGCAACUAGAUCUCACAAGAACUCACUCACUGUUGUGAGGACAGCACCAAGCCAUUAGGGAUCUGCCCCCGUGAUCUAUUCACCUCCUACCAGGCCUCACCUCCAACACUGGGGAUUUCAAUUUAGCAUGAGAUUAAGUGGACAGCAUCCAAAUUAUAGCAGAAGGUCUCAGCGGAGUGGUAGCACAUGAUUACUAUGUAAUGAACAUUAACUUAUUAUUAUUGUUAAUA